UGGGGCGUGGUCCAACCGGUAGGACACCUCACUGUUAAUGAGGACGGUGGAGGUUCGAAUCCUCCCGCCCCAGCCA
This 76-nucleotide transfer RNA is filed under the name Acidobacteria bacterium 13_1_40CM_4_58_4. Its description in RNAcentral is "tRNA-Asn". It matches the Rfam family "tRNA". Rfam says of the family: Transfer RNA (tRNA) molecules are approximately 80 nucleotides in length. Their secondary structure includes four short double-helical elements and three loops (D, anti-codon, and T loops). Lineage: Bacteria; Pseudomonadati; Acidobacteriota. The record is from RNAcentral. RNAcentral also lists the same sequence under 3 other names.